UCGAAUGACUGGAUGGAUAACAAAGUAAAGCAUAUUAACACUUUUAACUGCCCAUUCAUAGCAGUUUUAAUAGAGUUAAUUGUAUUUUGAGUGAACUCUGAAAAACAAAAUGCAAAUCGGUCUGCAACAUUCAGUUCAGAUUAGCUUCCCUUAAUUGCAAAACUAAUUAUUGGAUUAUUUUUCUCACCAUUUAAAUAACAGCAUUCCUACAGUAAAGUGUGGAGGUGGUAAUAUCCUAUAAUAGGGGUGUUUCUCUGCAAAAAAGAAUGCAGCAUUUGAAAGGAUAGAAGGAAAAAUAGAAUACAGUCACAUUCUUGAGGAAAAUCUGCUGCCCUCUGUCAGAAAGUUGUCAGAGAAAGUCAAGAAGAGGGGUUAAACUUCCAACAUGACAGUGACCCAAAGUACACAGCAAAACUGACCAGACAGUGGCUGAAGGAGAAAAGGUAAAUGUCCAUGCAUGGCCUAUAGUCAGAGCCCAGACUUAAAAUCAGUGGAACGACUAGAAGCCUGCAGUCCACAAACACUGAACUGAACUCGAUCAGUUCUGCAAAAAAAAAAAGAGUGGGCAAAUAUUGAAAAGUCUAGAUGUGCAAAUAAGAACAAAUCCCAAAUGACUUAAGGCUGUAAUUAAAGUAAAAGGUGGUUCAAUAAAACACUGACGCAAGGGGGUGAUCCUUUUUUCUAACUCAUUGAUCCUUUUUUUUUUUUUUUUUUUUUUUUUUUUUGACAUGUUGGUGUUAUAUUUUCAAUUGUUGCACUAAGUAAAUACACCUGGAUCAAACAAAAUCUCAAUCCAUCUUCAUUUCAGGCUGCAAAGCAACAAAGUGGCAUUAUUUUAAAUGGGGGUGAUUCUUUUAUAUGCCCAAUUUAUAAAGUGGCCAUUCUGGCAAGGCGUUAUAUGACAAGUAAAAAAGAAAUUAACUAAUGAAAUAAGGUUACUAACAGUCGUAAUUGGUGGUAGUUCAUCUUAAGUGUUUAUAUAAACCUAUGACUGAGUCUCAUUGUGUAUUGCUGUUGUGUUUCAGGUUGCUGGGCUGGGAAACCCUGGCAGGAAUGGCUCUCGGCAUAGUGUUGUUAUGGCUGUGCUCACAAUGUUAGCUGAACAUUUGGCAGCACCGUAUAGCUGGAGAUCUGACCAACAGGUUCCAGGGGAGGUCACUGUAUCUUCAAGAUAUCUAGCUGGUUCUUCUUUGACCCAAGGUAAUACCACGGCUGUGCGUUGAUAUCGGGCGACCGUUGGGUAAAACGCCUGUUGACCGUCAUGUUUUGGGACGUUUUCCACAAGAGGAACUAAAUGUUCUAGACACUGUCAUGUUCUGCUGACAUAUAUCACAGACUCGCAACCCCAGACUUCACCAGCAGAGGGCAGAAGAGUGUCACGCAAGAAUAAAACCAGGACACUUUCAACGCCUCAGGAAAGGUCUCUGUCAUAUUUUAAAGUUCAGUAUAUUAGGAGGUAGCAGUCAGGGUUACAAGCUGUAUUAUAGUAUCUAACUGAUUUUCCUAAAUUUGGGUUUGCAAACCCCUAGAGGCUCCAGUAUGGAACUGCAGAAGUUUCAUUUAAUUGCCAAGCAGAAAAGCAAAUGCUGUAUUAAUAUUAAAGGGUUAGUUCACCGAAAAAUGAAAA
Molecule: long non-coding RNA, 1627 nt
Organism: Carassius gibelio (silver crucian carp)
Lineage: Eukaryota; Metazoa; Chordata; Actinopteri; Cypriniformes; Cyprinidae
Exons: 2
Source: RefSeq, a predicted model, not a curated record